AUCACGAGUCCCCCCAAUCCAAAGCGAGAGUGCGAGACUGAAACCGAUUGACAGGAGGGCAUUGCCCGGCGGCGGGCCAGCAGGCGACGCACAGCAGCAGCAGCAUAGGGAUCCACGGCGGCGACCUCGACUUCCUCUUCCUGCGGCGGGUGGUGUUCAUCAAGCUAGUGGACGCUUAAUGGCCUCCUCGAGAAGCUAGUGGACGCCGCCGGCGACCUCGACUUCCUCCCCACCGACUCUACUGGUGCAGGACUGGCGUGGAGUGCAGAUCCGUUAGGACUUCGAUCGAUUUCUUCAUUCAAUUGAGAUCUUGGGCAAGCUCCUGGGUUUGUCAGCAAAAUUUAAGUACACAAGUGCAUCAGCUGCUGGAUUUGGAGUGGUAGAGACCGGAACCAAAAGAGGUGAGUGGAGAUGUACCGUGGCGGUCUUGAUCGCUUCAAGAAGGCGCAGACCUUGGAGCCCUUUUCAGUGCAGUCUGGGUCGGGCACCAAGAACACACCUGCAACUGCAAGAGCAGCUAAAGCUCCACUGGCUCCGUUGACACUGCCACAAAAUUCUAAUUUUGUGCUGGGUCAGAAUCACCAAAGUCCGCAAGGCGCCAGCUCGAGGGUGGCAGGGCUAGAUGCUGUUUCUCCUGGGCAUGUUGGGACACAGAUCGGUGGAGGGCAGUCGACAUGGCAACCUCCAGACUGGGCGAUUGAGCCACGCCAUGGGGUUUACUAUCUUGAUGUGUUGAAGGAUGGGGAGGUCAUUGAUAGGAUCAAUCUGGACAAGAGGAGGCAUAUAUUCGGGAGGCAGGUGCCUGCUUGUGAUUUCGUGUUAGACCAUCAGUCUGUGUCGCGCCAGCAUGCUGCUGUCAUUCCACACAGGAAUGGAAGCAUCUAUGUUAUCGAUUUAGGAUCAGUUCAUGGCACAUUUGUUGCAAAUGAGAGAUUAACGAAAGACAACCCUGUUGAACUUGAAGUUGGACAGUCACUUCGCUUUGCUGCAUCAACCAGAACCUAUAUCCUGCGAAAGAACACAGCUGCUCUAUUCCCAGCUCCUAGCCUUCCAUCAGAUGUCAGUUUGCCAUCUCCUCCAGACCCCAAUGAUGAAGACGCUGUUGUGGCAUACAAUACAAUACUUAACCGCUAUGGUAUUAGUAAAUCUGACAUAUCCUCUGGUUCCAAAGGUUCGUCAAUAGGUGCCCCUGGUGCAAAUGAUGACAAUCAGGCGGUUGAAAGGCCCUUGAAGAGAAGUAAAAAGUUGAGAGUAUCAUUUAGAGAUCAGAUUGGAGGAGAACUUACUCAAGUGGUUGGGAUUUCAGAUGGUGCAGAUGUUGAAACUGAACCAGGCCCUAUAGGUGUAAAGGAAGGCAGUCUUGUUGGGAAGUAUGAAUCUCUUGUACAGGUUACUGUCAUACCAAAAGGAAAGGAGCAAACUUCACCAAAAGAAAGUACCUCUCCAAGUGGGGUAACGGAUAAGCUACAAGAGGUGCUUAAAAAAGUUAAGAGCACAGCAAGAGGUGGGAUUUAUGAUGACCUUUAUGAGUAUUCUGUUCCAGGACAAGUGGGCUCAUCUUGGGCAUACAAGUCAGAUGAUCAGUCAGAUAAAGUCAAAGCUGUUGAGGAGAAGGCACCUAGGAUGAAUUCAGCUGAUGACAGCGAUGAUUUAUUUGGUGACUCAUGAUUCAGCAUUUUCAAUCAAAUACAACCAAAUGGAUUGUUCAGAAAUUCGUGGCGGAGUUUUUUAGUUUGUCUUCAGCAUUUUGCUUGGUUCUACAUGAUUGUACCCUGCUGCGAAGCAAGGUAUCUGAAAACUUUUACCGUGCAGGCAGGGCCUAUUUUUGCCAAGAACACCUGCUGAUCUUGUAACAAGAUUGAGAACAGAAAAGAAAGUUCUUGUGCUUGCUGAAUUAUGUAAACUCAUUCGAAAUAUACAGUGUAUUUCAAAACGCGAUGUGUGAUGGUUUUACAUGUUUUUGGGUAACCUGCUGCACCAUUUAAAACAACCUUUCCUUGCUUAGGUACUCACCAUGUAGAAAUACAAAAUUAAUGGCCGUAUGGAAGUUUUGUAUAUUAAGUCUAACAUCUUUAAUUA
Molecule: RNA transcript, 2079 nt
Organism: Phragmites australis (common reed)
Lineage: Eukaryota; Viridiplantae; Streptophyta; Magnoliopsida; Poales; Poaceae
Gene name: protein phosphatase 1 regulatory inhibitor subunit PPP1R8 homolog
Exons: 4
Source: RefSeq, a predicted model, not a curated record